UACGGGAGGCAGCAGUGAGGAAUAUUGGUCAAUGGCCGAGAGGCUGAACCAGCCAAGUAGCGUGAGGGAGGACUGCCCUAUGGGUUGUAAACCUCUUUUGUUUGGGAAUAAAGUGAGCCACGUGUGGCUUUUUGUAUGUACCUUACGAAUAAGCAUCGGCUAAUUCCGUGCCAUGCAGCCGCGGUAAU
Molecule: ribosomal RNA, 188 nt
Filed under: uncultured rumen bacterium
Lineage: Bacteria
Description: partial 16S ribosomal RNA
Rfam family: Bacterial small subunit ribosomal RNA
Source: RNAcentral